This is a long non-coding RNA of Cyprinus carpio carpio, 625 nucleotides long. The record is from Ensembl. NCBI's taxonomy places the organism in Eukaryota, Metazoa, Chordata, Actinopteri, Cypriniformes, Cyprinidae.
GGACAGUCAGAGAUUAUCGCAAAUAAUACACCGCUUGAAUUAUGAAUAUAUACGGAUCUUGUUUGCUUCUGAUCUUACCCAGUUAUUUCCUCUCAGAGUCAAGUUUUAAAAGAAGCCAAUUAAUUGUGGCCCAGCCAAGGACACAGUAACAGGCAGUAGUAGCACAUGGAGUGUGUUUGUGUCCGACCUGCCAUCAUCCACAACAUGUUAAUUUGGGAGAGAGAGUCAGUCAGGAAAAGAUCGAGUGCUGCAAGGUUCUACUUCAUCACAGCAUGGCGGUCUGGCAGACUAAACACAAUAUGAGGCACUCUUGGGAUGUACACAAGCACGAUCUGUCUCUCUUCCACCCUAUCUUUGCUCCAUAGGGGCUUUUGACAGGUAUGUUCUCUUCACACUGUCACUCUGAUUCUCCUCCGGCAUUCACUACGCUGUUAAUUGCUUAUGGAAAACAAAAAAGGGCCAUCGGAAGAUGGGAUAAAACACCCUACGCCCCCGAUUCCCCACGGAUUCUGUCUGCAUGCCUGCAUUAAGCGUUUUAAUACAUUUAACGGGGCCUGAAACAUCUCUGUGUUGUCAGAAUGGCAUGGCUUGGCCUCAUCUGCCCAUUCUCUCUCUCCCGUGUCAG